CAUGAACUGGAAAAAAGGUAUUGCAGUGGCACUUAGUGCCAUUGCUGUUAUGGCAAUGGUAGCCGGUUGUGGUUCCAAUACCGCAACUAAUGACCA
RNAcentral lists this transfer RNA (96 nucleotides) under Veillonella parvula. Lineage: Bacteria; Bacillati; Bacillota; Negativicutes; Veillonellales; Veillonellaceae. The record is from RNAcentral.